GGGUAAAAGUAAGUGCUGUAAUUAGGCUGUUAGUGGUAAGGAGUGGGUGGAGGAGAGGUGAUCUAGAGUCUUAUGAGUAGGUCUUGGUCUUUAGUGAGCCUGCACCAUCAAAAUGUGAACUUUACACAUGCUUCUCAGUUGUUUGCCCCCCUUCAUUAGGAUGGCUAGAGUGGGAUGUCAUUGGGUAUGAACCUUCUUCCAUGCAGAAGGCUGGAGAGGGCAGGAGUUGGGUUUUCCCUUCCCGAGGUCAAUUAAGCUCUGAUUAACACCAGCUGGUUAGGCUCUAGCUAAAUAUUUCCACCUGAGGACAGACAUUUUUUAAGAAAAGCCGGGUGCUCUGAUGAAUUUCAAAAUGAUUCCUUUUCCUCUCCACCUGUCAGAAGCACAAGAGGAUCUUUCUCCAAUAUUCAUCGUGAGAACCUCAUCCAGCUCCUGGAGGGAACAAACACAGCAUGACGCUUUGGGACCUCCUCAAGAUUAGCCCUGAGCUAACUACCGCCAAUACUCCUCUUUUUGCUGAGGAAGAUUGGGUCUGAGCUAACAGCCGUGCCCAUCUUCCUCUACUUUAUACUGGGAUGCCUACCACAGCAUGGUGUUUGCCAAGUGAUGCCACGUCCACACCCGGGAUCCCAACAGGCGAACGAACCCAGGGCCGCUGAGAAGCGGAACGUGCACACUCAACUGCUGCACCACCGGGCCGGCCCCUCUUUAUUCUUUUUGAUACUACUCUCUUCUAAUUAUCUUUUUGAAUUUUAAUAUUUAGUGACUUAUUUUACAUUUCAGACAAGAUUUGAGUUCAGCUGAAGUAUUAUGUGUUUCUACCAGAAAAAAAUAGAAGUAUUUUUCCAUAGCCCUUUAUAAGUUUAAAUAACAGAAGAAGAGGUAAACCACAAAAACAAACAAAACAAAAACUAUUAAAUGUAUUAAUAUGGCAAUUUUUGGACAUGAUGGUAAAUAGGUAGUAUUAGGAUUCUGCUUUGUCAAGGAUCCCAUCAAGCCCUUCCUCAUUUGGCCGGUCUCUCUCGGCCUCACACAAGCACAGUGGGGAGUAACCCUGACCGUGGUGGAAUAUGGACAUGAACGAGGCUCAAAAUGGAGGAAAGAGACUAAAUACAAACUGACGUGUUUAUUCUAGAACAAGAGAGGCUGGAAGGGUAACUAUCCAUAAUAGUACUUGUGUACAAUAUUUCACAGAGCCAUAAAAUAUGCUAUAAUUUUGGUUUCAAGCUUUUUAAAUUGAAAGGAUAAUUAUCUACUUAAGAUUUUUAGAAUCUCAUUUUCGUAAAAAAGAUUCUAAAUGAGAUACUCUUGUUCAAAUAUUUUCCUACCCGUUUAUUUUCAAAUUUAAAUACUACAAUUGAAUGCAUCUCAGAAUGAGAGAUGAAUUAUAGUCAACGCUGGUUCAGAAAUAGUCUUUAGUAAGUAGUAACACUCUCUUAGUGGCACCUGCCUCAAGUACUAUUAUAGAUUGUUAUGGAUUGAAGUGCCCCCCCCCCAGAUUCAUAGGUUGAUGACCUAACCUCCAGUGUGGCUCUGUUUGGAGUUAAGUCCUUUAAAAAGAUAACUAAGGUUAAAUGCGGUCAUAAGGUUGGGGUCCCAAUCCAAUAUGACAGGUGUCCUUAUAAGAACAAGAAGAGACCCAGGAUGGGACACACAGAGGAAAGGCCAUGUGAGGACACAGCCAGAAGGCGUCCAGCUGCAAGCUGAGGAGAGAGGCCUGGGGAGAAACCAGACGUGCUGGCACCUUCUUCUUGGACUUCUAACAUCUAGAACAAUGAGAAAAUAAACUCCGCUGUUUAAGCCACCUGGUCUAUAGUAUUUUAUUGUGGCAGCCCUAGCAAAUGAAUACAGCUUCCUUGAAAUGGGCAUUAACUAAAGGACUGGAGCUUCUCAUACUUGGAUUUCAAGUAAAGUUGGCUACA
This is a long non-coding RNA of Equus caballus (horse), 1922 nucleotides long. Lineage: Eukaryota; Metazoa; Chordata; Mammalia; Perissodactyla; Equidae. The record is from Ensembl.